This 1441-nucleotide ribosomal RNA is filed under the name uncultured bacterium. RNAcentral describes it as "bacterial SSU rRNA". It matches the Rfam family "Bacterial small subunit ribosomal RNA". The record is from RNAcentral.
GACGAACGCUGGCGGCGCGCCUAACACAUGCAAGUCGAACGGGGUAUAUAGUUAAGUAAUUGAUUGUAUACCUAGUGGCGGACGGGUGAGUAACGCGUGAGCAACCUGCCUCUAACAGGGGGAUAACGUACCGAAAGGUACACUAAUACCGCAUAAAAUGUAGUUACGCAUGUAACUGUAUAGAAAGGGAUACCGGUUAGAGAUGGGCUCGCGUCCGAUUAGAUAGUUGGUAGGGUAAUAGCCUACCAAGUCAACGAUCGGUAGCCGACCUGAGAGGGUGAUCGGCCACAUUGGAACUGAGAACGGUCCAAACUCCUACGGGAGGCAGCAGUGGGGAAUCUUGGGCAAUGGGGGGAACCCUGACCCAGCGACGCCGCGUGAGGGAAGAAGGUUUUCGGAUUGUAAACCUCUGUUCUUGGUGAAGAGUAUAAGACGGUAGCCAAGGAGGAAGCCCCGGCUAACUACGUGCCAGCAGCCGCGGUAAUACGUAGGGGGCGAGCGUUGUCCGGAAUGAUUGGGCGUAAAGGGCGCGUAGGCGGCGACAUAAGUCUGAAGUGAAAGUCCCAAAUUCAAGUUAGGAAUUGCUUUGGAAACUAUAUUGCUUGAGUGCAGGAGAGGUCAUCGGAAUUCCCGGUGUAGCGGUGAAAUGCGUAGAGAUCGGGAGGAACACCAGUGGCGAAGGCGGGUGGCUGGACUGUAACUGACGCUGAUGCGCGAAAGUGUGGGGAGCAAACAGGAUUAGAUACCCUGGUAGUCCACACCGUAAACGAUGAAUGCUAGGUGUAGGUGGUAUCGACCCCAUCUGUGCCGUCGCAAACGCAAUAAGCAUUCCGCCUGGGGAGUACGGUCGCAAGAUUAAAACUCAAAGGAAUUGACGGGGGCCCGCACAAGCAGCGGAGCAUGUGGUUUAAUUCGAAGCAACGCGAAGAACCUUACCAGGUCUUGACAUCCAAUUAAAGCUGAAGAGAUUCAGUGUGUGCUUGCACAAAUUGAGACAGGUGGUGCAUGGUUGUCGUCAGCUCGUGUCGUGAGAUGUUGGGUUAAGUCCCGCAACGAGCGCAACCCUUGCCAAUAGUUACUAACGAGUGAAGUUGAGGACUUUAUUGGGACCGCCGUGGACAACACGGAGGAAGGUGGGGACGACGUCAAAUCAUCAUGCCCCUUAUGAUCUGGGCUACACACGUGCUACAAUGGUCGCAACAAAGAGCAGCGAGGGAGCAAUCCGGAGCGAAUCUCAAAAAAGCGAUCUCAGUUCGGAUUGUGGGCUGCAACCCGCCCACAUGAAGUCGGAGUUGCUAGUAAUCGUGAAUCAGCAUGUCACGGUGAAUGCGUUCCCGGGCCUUGUACACACCGCCCGUCACACCAUGGGAGUUGUUAGCACCCGAAGGCAGAGAGGUAACGGAAGAGCCAUCUGACGAAGGUGAGAAUGAUGACUGGGGUG